RNAcentral lists this ribosomal RNA (441 nucleotides) under uncultured bacterium. RNAcentral describes it as "bacterial SSU rRNA". It matches the Rfam family "Bacterial small subunit ribosomal RNA", at positions 338 to 795 of the family's 1533-position model. The record is from RNAcentral.
CCUACGGGGGGCUGCAGUAAGGAAUCUUCCACAAUGGGGGCAACCCUGAUGGAGCAAUACCGCGUGCAGGAUGAAGCGUUUCGGCGUGUAAACUGCUUUUAUCACCGAAGAUUAUGACUGUAGGUGAAGAAUAAGGACCGGCUAACUACGUGCCAGCAGCCGCGGUAAUACGUAGGGUCCAAGCGUUAUCCGGAAUUACUGGGCGUAAAGCGUCUGUAGGCGGCUUUUCAAGUCAGGUGCGAAAUCUUGCGGCUCAACCGUAUAGACUGUGCUUGAAACUGAUUAGCUAGAGGUAGGUAGAGGCAAGUGGAAUUUCUGGUGUAGGAGUGACAUCCGUAGAUAUCAGAAGGAACACCAAUGGCGAAGGCAGCUUGCUGGGCCUUACCUGACACUCAGAGACGAAAGCGUGGGGAGCGAACGGGCUUAGAUACCCGGGUAGUC